AAAGCAUAUUUUUAUACUUCUAAUAUAAUUUAUAAUAUUAAUUUAUUAAUGCUUUU
RNAcentral lists this transfer RNA (56 nucleotides) under Sycobia sp. 2 JXW-2020. RNAcentral describes it as "tRNA-Ser". Lineage: Eukaryota; Metazoa; Arthropoda; Insecta; Hymenoptera; Epichrysomallidae. The record is from RNAcentral.